RNAcentral lists this long non-coding RNA (351 nucleotides) under Ricinus communis (castor bean). RNAcentral's name for it is "long non-coding RNA (RCOM_LNC002317)". Lineage: Eukaryota; Viridiplantae; Streptophyta; Magnoliopsida; Malpighiales; Euphorbiaceae. The record is from RNAcentral.
CCUGCCUUAUUGACCUUCUGAGGAGAUUUGGACUCAUUGAUGAAGCAAUGACUUUUCUAAAUCAGAUGAGAGCAGAUGGAAUUGAAGUUCCUAUAAGUGUUUGGGGAGCUUUGCUUGGAGCCUGUAGAAUUCACAAGAACAUUGCACUGGGUGAGAUUGCUGGUGAGAGGUUAUUGGAACUAGAGCCAAAUAGAUCUGGUAUAUAUUUUAUGUUGGCAGAAAUGUACCUUAGUGUUGGAAGAAGAACAGACGCAUAGCGGAUUUUGGACCGCAUGAAAGAGAAGGGAGUCAAGAAGCAACCAGGUUGUAGUUGGAUUGAGGUAAACAACAAUAGGCACGUGUUUCUUUUGG